RNAcentral lists this ribosomal RNA (856 nucleotides) under Byssonectria deformis. RNAcentral describes it as "LSU rRNA". It matches the Rfam family "Eukaryotic large subunit ribosomal RNA", at positions 76 to 949 of the family's 3401-position model. Lineage: Eukaryota; Fungi; Ascomycota; Pezizomycetes; Pezizales; Pyronemataceae. The record is from RNAcentral.
UGCCUUAGUAACUGCGAGUGAAGCGGCAAAAGCUCAAAUUUGAAAUCUGGCGUCUUCGACGUCCGAGUUGUAAUUUGGAGGGGCAUCUUCGGAAUUGGCGCCGUCCUAAGUUCCUUGGAACAGGACGUCAUAGAGGGUGAGAAUCCCGUGCCUGGAUGGCUGUCCAAUUCCAUGUGAAGUGUCUCCGACGAGUCGAGUUGUUUGGGAAUGCAGCUCAAAAUGGGUGGUAAAUUUCAUCUAAAGCUAAAUAUUGGCGAGAGACCGAUAGCGCACAAGUAGAGUGAUCGAAAGAUGAAAAGCACUUUGAAAAGAGAGUUAAAAAGUACGUGAAAUUGUUGAAAGGGAAGCGCUUGAGACCAGACUCAAUCUUAGGUGAUCAGCCGUGCUUCUGUACGGUGCACUUGCCUUUGAUUGGGCCAGCAUCAGUUCUGACGGCGGGAUAAAAUGCGGAGGAAUGUGGCUCUCUUCGGGGAGUGUUAUAGCCUCUGUAACAAUGCCGCCAGUUGGGACUGAGGACCGCGCUUCGGCUAGGAUGCUGGCGUAAUGGUCUUAAGCGACCCGUCUUGAAACACGGACCAAGGAGUCUAACAUCUAUGCGAGUGUUCGGGUGGAAAACCCUUGCGCGUAAUGAAAGUGAACGGAGGUGUGAACCUUUCGGGGUGCAACAUCGACCGAUCCUGAUGUUUUCGGAAGGAUUUGAGUAAGAGCAUAGCUGUUGGGACCCGAAAGAUGGUGAACUAUGCCUGAAUAGGGUGAAGCCAGAGGAAACUCUGGUGGAGGCUCGCAGCGGUUCUGACGUGCAAAUCGAUCGUCAAAUUUGGGUAUAGGGGCGAAAGACUAAUCGAACCAUCUAGUA